CAGAGGUGGCAAGCGUUGUUCGGAAUUACUGGGCGUAAAGGGCGCGUAGGCGGCCAUCUAAGUCAGACGUGAAAUCCCCCGGCUUAACCUGGGAACUGCGUCUGAUACUGGACGGCUCGAGUUUGGGAGAGGGAUGUGGAAUUCCAGGUGUAGCGGUGAAAUGCGUAGAUAUCUGGAGGAACACCGGUGGCGAAGGCGGCAUCCUGGACCAACACUGACGCUGAGGCGCGAAAGCUAGGGGAGCAAACGGGAUUAGAUACCCCGGUAGUCCUAGCCCUAAACGAUGAAUGCUUGGUGUGGCGGGUAUCGAUCCCUGCCGUGCCGAAGCUAACGCAUUAGGCAUUCCGCCUGGGGAGUACGGUCGCAAGGCUG
This 372-nucleotide ribosomal RNA is filed under the name uncultured organism. RNAcentral describes it as "bacterial SSU rRNA". It matches the Rfam family "Bacterial small subunit ribosomal RNA", at positions 526 to 896 of the family's 1533-position model. The record is from RNAcentral.